Molecule: ribosomal RNA, 450 nt
Filed under: uncultured bacterium
Lineage: Bacteria
Description: partial 16S ribosomal RNA
Rfam family: Bacterial small subunit ribosomal RNA
Source: RNAcentral
GUGGGGAAUCUUCCGCAAUGGACGAAAGUCUGACGGAGCAACGCCGCGUGAGUGAUGAAGGCCUUCGGAUUGUAAAGCUCUGUUAAUCGGGACGAAAGAGCCUAGUGUGAAUAAUGCUAGGAAGUGACGGUACCGGAAUAGAAAGCCACGGCUAACUACGUGCCAGCAGCCGCGGUAAUACGUAGGUGGCAAGCGUUGUCCGGAAUUAUUGGGCGUAAAGCGCGCGCAGGCGGAUCUGCCAGUCUGUCUUAAAAGUUCGGGGCUUAACCCCGUGAUGGGAUGGAAACUACAGAUCUAGAGUAUCGGAGAGGAAAGUGGAAUUCCUAGUGUAGCGGUGAAAUGCGUAGAUAUUAGGAAGAACACCAGUGGCGAAGGCGACUUUCUGGACGAAAACUGACGCUGAGGCGCGAGAGCCAGGGGAGCGAACGGGAUUAGAAACCCUAGUAGUCC